UGAUGGGGUUUGUAAGUCUGCCAGUCUUCUUUCAAUAUUAUACUCUUAAGACUAUUUGCCAUGUUCUGAACUAGAUUUCAAACUAAUCAGUCACAAGGACUCCGUAUGAGAUAUGGACUAGGCGUAAGUCGAUAUUUCCUUACCUUAAGGUUUAGGAGUGUUUGUUUUAUGUCAAGCAUUUACAGACUGAUUAGCUUGGAUCCCAAUCCUA
RNAcentral lists this long non-coding RNA (211 nucleotides) under Elaeis guineensis (African oil palm). RNAcentral's name for it is "long non-coding RNA (EGUI_LNC082093)". Lineage: Eukaryota; Viridiplantae; Streptophyta; Magnoliopsida; Arecales; Arecaceae. The record is from RNAcentral.